GGUCUAUUAGUCUAGUUGGUUAGAACGUCGGAUUCUGAUUCACAUCGGAUUUUCCGUAAGCCCAGGUUCGAAUCCUGGAUGGACCU
Molecule: transfer RNA, 86 nt
Filed under: Colletotrichum orbiculare MAFF 240422
Lineage: Eukaryota; Fungi; Ascomycota; Sordariomycetes; Glomerellales; Glomerellaceae
Description: tRNA-Gln for anticodon CUG
Rfam family: tRNA
About the family: Transfer RNA (tRNA) molecules are approximately 80 nucleotides in length. Their secondary structure includes four short double-helical elements and three loops (D, anti-codon, and T loops).
Source: Rfam by way of RNAcentral